AUACGGAGGGUGCAAGCGUUAAUCGGAAUUACUGGGCGUAAAGCGCGCGUAGGCGGAUUGUUAAGUCUCAUGUGAAAGCCCUGGGCUCAACCUGGGAACUGCAUGGGAUACUGGCAAUCUAGAAUACAGUAGAGGGUAGUGGAAUUUCAGGUGUAGCGGUGAAAUGCGUAGAGAUCUGAAGGAACAUCAGUGGCGAAGGCGACUACCUGGACUGAUAUUGAUGCUGAGGUGCGAAAGCGUGGGGAGCAAACGGGAUUAGAAACCCGAGUAGUCC
This 274-nucleotide ribosomal RNA is filed under the name uncultured bacterium. RNAcentral describes it as "partial 16S ribosomal RNA". It matches the Rfam family "Bacterial small subunit ribosomal RNA", at positions 523 to 796 of the family's 1533-position model. The record is from RNAcentral.